This 123-nucleotide microRNA precursor is filed under the name Marmota monax (woodchuck). The record is from RNAcentral. Lineage: Eukaryota; Metazoa; Chordata; Mammalia; Rodentia; Sciuridae.
UGAACACCUCCCCUGUUCUUCUUCUCUCCUGAGCCAUAUUCUUUAAAUAUAUAUAUUUAAAUAUAUAAAAAUAUAUUUAAAUAUAUAAAAAAAUAUAAAGAAGAAGAACAGGGGAGGUGUUCA